AAUAAGCUUAAUCUAGUAGAAUAAUUGAUGAAGAAGCUUCAGUAAGUAGAAACUUUGAAAGAUCAGAAAGAACAAUUGGAGAUUCUUCACAAGAAGAUGAUACAACCUCAAGAGAAUCAUGCAAAUAUAUCUUCAAAAAUAUCCCCGACAAAACGUCAAAAGAUUCUUAUGAAGUAUACUUUCAAACACGUGACGAAGAAGACCAUGUAUUUUUCAAGAGUAUAUUUGAUUUCUAUAAAAUAAUAAUAAAAUUAUUGGUUAAGAAAUAA
This 269-nucleotide long non-coding RNA is filed under the name Lathyrus oleraceus (garden pea). Its description in RNAcentral is "Pisum sativum (pea) long non-coding RNA (PSAT_LNC002195)". Lineage: Eukaryota; Viridiplantae; Streptophyta; Magnoliopsida; Fabales; Fabaceae. The record is from RNAcentral.